RNAcentral lists this ribosomal RNA (492 nucleotides) under uncultured bacterium. RNAcentral's name for it is "partial 16S ribosomal RNA". It matches the Rfam family "Bacterial small subunit ribosomal RNA", at positions 29 to 507 of the family's 1533-position model. The record is from RNAcentral.
AGUGAACGCUGGCGGUAGGCCUAACACAUGCAAGUCGAACGGCAGCACAGUAAGAGCUUGCUCUUACGGGUGGCGAGUGGCGGACGGGUGAGGAAUACAUCGGAAUCUACUUUUUCGUGGGGGAUAACGUAGGGAAACUUACGCUAAUACCGCAUACGACCUACGGGUGAAAGCAGGGGAUCUUCGGACCUUGCGCGAUUGAAUGAGCCGAUGUCGGAUUAGCUAGUUGGCGGGGUAAAGGCCCACCAAGGCGGCGAUCCGUAGCUGGUCUGAGAGGAUGAUCAGCCACACUGGAACUGAGACACGGUCCAGACUCCUACGGGAGGCAGCAGUGGGGAAUAUUGGACAAUGGGCGCAAGCCUGAUCCAGCCAUACCGCGUGGGUGAAGAAGGCCUUCGGGUUGUAAAGCCCUUUUGUUGGGAAAGAAAAGCAGCGGGUUAAUACCCCGCUGUUCUGACGGUACCCAAAGAAUAAGCACCGGCUAACUUCGUG